RNAcentral lists this ribosomal RNA (457 nucleotides) under uncultured bacterium. Its description in RNAcentral is "bacterial SSU rRNA". It matches the Rfam family "Bacterial small subunit ribosomal RNA", at positions 340 to 790 of the family's 1533-position model. The record is from RNAcentral.
UACGGAAGGCAGCAGUGGGGAAUAUUGCACAAUGGGCGCAAGCCUGAUGCAGCCAUGCCGCGUGUAUGAAGAAGGCCUUCGGGUUGUAAAGUACUUUCAGUCGUGAGGAAGGUGUUAAGGUUAAUAACCUUAGCAAUUGACGUUAGCGGCAGAAGAAGCACCGGCUAACUCCGUGCCAGCAGCCGCGGUAAUACGGAGGGUGCGAGCGUUAAUCGGAAUUACUGGGCGUAAAAGGGCACGCAGGCGGUUAAUUAAGUUGGAUGUGAAAUCCCCGGGCUUAACCUGGGAAUGGCAUUCAAGACUGGUUAGCUAGAGUCUUGUAGAGGGGGUUAGAAUUCCAUGUGUAGCGGUGAAAUGCGUAGAGAUGUGGAGGAAUACCGGUGGCGAAGGCGGCCCCUGGACAAAGACUGACGCUCAUGUGCGAAAGCUGGGGAGCAAACAGGAUUAGAUACCCGGU